CAUAUACGCACAGAUCGAAACGGACAUUACCAAUCAAAUUCUAUAAAUUUAUCUUAACUCUAGCUAACUCAGCAAUCUGAUUGGUAUAUAGUGUCUGUUUCGAUCGGGGGCUCGAUUCUUGAAUUCAUUUGCAAGAGAAACGUAUUCGCAAAUUCUGUUCUUGCAGAAAAGUUGGAACCUUAUUGGCUAUCGUAUGACUUUUAACCAAUAAACUUGCACUUUUCUGUUUGAGUGAGUAUUUGCGCGUACGUUUCUCUUGCGAAUAAAUUCAAGAAUUGAGCCCCUGUGCGCUUCCGUUUAAACGUUUUGACAAACAACAAGGAUAAAUAAUGCACCAUGCGUAUUAUACGUAUUAUGAAACGGAACGCAUCCUAAGUGACAUGCAGUGAGGUUAUAUUAUGACAGUUUCAUGAAGAUCGUGCCAUAAAAUGACAGAUAGGGUAAGUGUAUUAAUGUAUCUUUAUAUUUAAAGAAAUUAUAGAAGAAUUAAAAAUAGAACAUUUUCUUUUGUAUUAUAUACAUAAAUAGUCAAACUAAAUUUUUAAAAAUUUAUUCUUCCUAUUUAAUUGUGCUAAUUUUCUUUAUAAUUUCUUUAAAUACAAAGGUACACAAAUAGGUAUAGGAAUACUAACAGGGACACUCCUAUUGCCCUCCUAUCCUGCUCUAGACGAGGCAGAAGAAGUCAAGUCCGGAGAUAAAAUGAAGAAACAAUAAAACGAGAAGAACCUGAAGGUAUAAUAAAGUGUCAAAGAUGCAAGAAAAUUUUGUGUACGAAUUUUGUUUACAUGUAAUGUUUUAUAUUCCUAUGCUCUAUGAUUACAGGAGAAAAGCAUUGAAUAUAAUGAAAAAGAGGAAGAAAAUGACCACAGGCCAGGAAAAAAAAUUAUUAUAAAUAAAGCUGAGGAUAUUAAUUCCAUAUUACCAGUGGCAGGAUUUAUGUCUCCUAGAAUUGCUUCUCCGAUGCAUCCUAGCAGAAGUGGUUUUGGACGAGGAGUAGCAAAUAGUCCAUACAAUUUGCAAACACCUUCAAGAAUGGAUGUUGGUUGGAUAUUUUAAUAAUGGAUAUUAAAAUACGUAUUCGUGACUCUCACACACAUGAUAAUUCUGCUCACUGGACAAUAAGCAAACAUCCAAAGAAUUUCAGUGAAGAUCAUGAAGCUGUCAGCAUUUUACUUUCAAUAGAGAAAAAGUAGUAAAACUUAACACGGACAAGAUAAAAUUUUUGCAAUUGUGUCACUUUAUUGCGUGCUCUCUCCAUUAUAGCGUAGAUUUCUAUUAUUUCAUGAUGAAUCGUCAUGCUUUUUUUGCAUUAGAAUGUCAUUUACACUACUUGUACAUAAUAAAUAAUAUCUUGAGCUGAUCCAUAUACGUAUACAACUCUGUUUCCAAAAUUAACACUGUACGAUGUACGUAACAGACGCUGCUAUUUUUUGUGUUAAUAGCAGUAAUCUUAAAUGUCUGCAUUAAAUUAUUAUUAGUAACUAAUUCAGAUUUUGUAAAAUUUUAGAGUUGCAAAUGUUAAGUUAAAGUAAUUAUGCGUUACCAAAAACCUCUCCAAAUUUAACAUUGAGCUAUUAUUGCACCUAGUUUUCAAAUUAUAAAUAAAUUCUCUAAUACAAACAACGACCAUCUAUUUUAUUCUGUUAUUCUCUACGACACGAGGUGACGUUAAAAUUGUUGAUUAAUAACGUUUUGAACCAACUCAAAUUUCGCACAUGUGGGAUUGAUAUUGCUUAUGCCGAAUGAUCUGAUUUGCCCAAAGAAAUGUCAAAGACAAUCCUGGUUCAUAAUUCGAGGUUUCAAAUGCUUGAAUUCAUACGUUUUCAAAGUUGAUUGACAAACCAUAUUCUUUGUAGCUUCUUUAUUGCCCUUUCCCAGAAUGGAAAAUGCGGUCCGGCUUUAACGUGUCUAUAGAACUAUAGAAGCACUCACUCUGUGUGAGUAGCGCGAUUGUUAAUGAUAGUUUAUGGUCGUGAUGAAUGUUUGUAGGAAUAUGGUUCUAUAGCUAGUAUUUAUAAGGUUUGUUUUUAUUCCUGUACUGCUGCAUUGACGCAAUAAGUUAGAAUAAGACAAAUAUAUAUUUUUUCAUUCUUACU
Monomorium pharaonis (pharaoh ant) is the source of this 2096-nucleotide long non-coding RNA. RefSeq lists it as uncharacterized. The transcript has 3 exons. Lineage: Eukaryota; Metazoa; Arthropoda; Insecta; Hymenoptera; Formicidae. The record is from RefSeq and is a predicted model, not a curated record.